This 828-nucleotide ribosomal RNA is filed under the name uncultured bacterium. Its description in RNAcentral is "bacterial SSU rRNA". It matches the Rfam family "Bacterial small subunit ribosomal RNA", at positions 48 to 902 of the family's 1533-position model. The record is from RNAcentral.
GCUACCAUGCAGUCGACGCGAAAGGGCCCUUCGGGGCGCGAGUAGAGUGGCGGACGGGUGAGUAACACGUGGAUGACCUGCCCCCGGGAGGGGGACAACCCCGGGAAACCGGGGCUAAUACCGCAUGAUCCGGCGGCCGUAGGGGCGGUCGGGAAAGCGCAUGCGCCUGGGGAGGGGUCCGCGGCCGAUUAGCUGGUUGGCGGGGUAAGGGCCCGCCAAGGCGACGAUCGGUAGCCGGCCUGAGAGGGCGCGCGGCCACACUGGCACUGAGACACGGGCCAGACUCCUGCGGGAGGCAGCAGUGGGGAAUCUUGGACAAUGGGGGCAACCCUGAUCCAGCGACGCCGCGUGACCGAGGAAGGCCCUCGGGUCGUAAAGGUCUUUCAGCGGGGACUAUGGUGAAGGUACCCGCAGAAGCAGGAGCGGCUAACUACGUGCCAGCAGCCGCGGUAAUACGUAGGCUCCAAGCGUUGUUCGGAAUCACUGGGCGUAAAGCGAGCGCAGGCGGCGCGCCGUGCCGGUCGUGAAAUCUCCCGGCUCAACCGGGAGGGGGCGGCCGGGACUGGCGGGCUAGAGUGCGGCAGGGGAAGGCAGAAUUCCUGGUGUAGCGGUGGAAUGCGUAGAGAUCAGGAGGAAUGCCGGAGGUGAAGACGGCCUUCCGGGCCGCCACUGACGCUGAGGCUCGAAAGCGUGGGGAGCGAACAGGAUUAGAUACCUGGUAGUCCACGCCCUAAACGAUGCAUACUUGGUGUGGCCCUUCAGUGGGUCCGUGCCGGAGCGAACGCGUUAAGUAUGCCGCCUGGGGAGUACGGUCGCAAGGCUGAACUC